GAUGAACGCUGGCGGCGUGCCUAAUACAUGCAAGUCGAACGCAUUGUGGUUGAAAUGAUAUGAAGAACUUGUUCAGAUUUGAUUUUCAACAUUGCAAUGAGUGGCGAACGGGUGAGUAACACGUGGGAAACCUACCUCUUAGCAGGGGAUAACAUUUGGAAACAAAUGCUAAUACCGUAUAAUAAUUAAAACCGCAUGGUUUUAGUUUAAAAGAUGGUCUUGCUAUCACUAAGAGAUGGUCCCGCGGUGUAUUAGUUAGUUGGUGAGGUAAUGGCUCACCAAGACAAUGAUACAUAGCCGAGUUGAGAGAUUGACCGGCCACAAUGGGACUGAGACACGGCCCAUACUCCUACGGGAGGCAGCAGUAGGGAAUCUUCCACAAUGGACGAAAGUCUGAUGGAGCAACGCCGCGUGUGUGAUGAAGGGUUUCGGCUCGUAAAACACUGUUGUAAGAGAAGAAUGACAUUGAGAGUAACUGUUCAAUGUGUGACGGUAU
RNAcentral lists this ribosomal RNA (496 nucleotides) under uncultured bacterium. RNAcentral's name for it is "bacterial SSU rRNA". It matches the Rfam family "Bacterial small subunit ribosomal RNA", at positions 28 to 478 of the family's 1533-position model. The record is from RNAcentral.